RNAcentral lists this ribosomal RNA (423 nucleotides) under Lactobacillales bacterium 2_5_2CO2. RNAcentral's name for it is "bacterial SSU rRNA". It matches the Rfam family "Bacterial small subunit ribosomal RNA", at positions 993 to 1417 of the family's 1533-position model. The record is from RNAcentral. Lineage: Bacteria; Bacillati; Bacillota; Bacilli; Lactobacillales.
GCCAACCCAAGAGAUUGGGCGUUCCCUUCGGGGACAGAAUGACAGGUGGUGCAUGGUUGUCGUCAGCUCGUGUCGUGAGAUGUUGGGUUAAGUCCCGCAACGAGCGCAACCCUUAUUAUUAGUUGCCAGCAUUUANUUGGGCACUCUAGUGAGACUGCCGGUGAUAAACCGGAGGAAGGUGGGGACGACGUCAAAUCAUCAUGCCCCUUAUGAGCUGGGCUACACACGUGCUACAAUGGAUGGUACAACGAGUCGCGAAACCGCGAGGUCAAGCUAAUCUCUUAAAGCCAUUCUCAGUUCGGAUUGCAGGCUGCAACUCGCCUGCAUGAAGUUGGAAUCACUAGUAAUCGUGGAUCAGCAUGCCACGGUGAAUACGUUCCCGGGCCUUGUACACACCGCCCGUCACACCAUGAGAGUUUGUAA